GACGAACGCUGGCGGCGUGCCUAAUACAUGCAAGUUGAGCGCUGAAGGUUGGUACUUGUACCCACUGGAUGAGCAGCGAACGGGUGAGUAACGCGUGGGGAAUCUGCCUUUGAGCGGGGGACAACAUUUGGAAACGAAUGCUAAUACCGCAUAAAAACUUUAAACACAAGUUUUAAGUUUGAAAGAUGCAAUUGCAUCACUCAAAGAUGAUCCCGCGUUGUAUUAGCUAGUUGGUGAGGUAAAGGCUCACCAAGGCGAUGAUACAUAGCCGACCUGAGAGGGUGAUCGGCCACAUUGGGACUGAGACACGGCCCAAACUCCUACGGGAGGCAGCAGGAGGGAAUCUUCGGCAAUGGACGAAAGUCUGACCGAGCAACGCCGCGUGAGUGAAGAAGGGUGUCGGAUCGUAAAACUCGGUUGGUAGAGAAGAACGUUGGUGAGAGUGGAAAGCUCAUCAAGUGACGGUAACUACCCAGAAAGGGACGGCUAACUACGUG
RNAcentral lists this ribosomal RNA (497 nucleotides) under uncultured bacterium. RNAcentral describes it as "partial 16S ribosomal RNA". It matches the Rfam family "Bacterial small subunit ribosomal RNA", at positions 28 to 507 of the family's 1533-position model. The record is from RNAcentral.